CCUACGGGGGGCAGCAGUAGGGAAUAUUGCUCAAUGGGGGAAACCCUGAAGCAGCAACGCCGCGUGGAGGAUGAAGGUUUUCGGAUUGUAAACUCCUUUUGUUAGAGAAGAUAAUGACGGUAUCUAACGAAUAAGCACCGGCUAACUCCGUGCCAGCAGCCGCGGUAAUACGGAGGGUGCAAGCGUUACCCGGAAUCACUGGGCGUAAAGAGCGCGUAGGCGGGAUAGCAAGUCAGAUGUGAAAUGCUACGGCUUAACCAUAGAACUGCAUUUGAAACUGUUAUUCUAGAGUAUGGGAGAGGUAGGUGGAAUUCGUGGUGUAGGGGUAAAAUCCGUAGAGAUCAAGAGGAAUACUCAUUGCGAAGGC
Molecule: ribosomal RNA, 367 nt
Filed under: uncultured bacterium
Lineage: Bacteria
Description: partial 16S ribosomal RNA
Rfam family: Bacterial small subunit ribosomal RNA
Source: RNAcentral